This is a non-coding RNA of Vicugna pacos (alpaca), 2616 nucleotides long. Lineage: Eukaryota; Metazoa; Chordata; Mammalia; Artiodactyla; Camelidae. The record is from RefSeq and is a predicted model, not a curated record.
AAUUUCUCAAAUCUUUAGAGAGCACCUCUUUCAGAGCAAAUGGAAUAUUUCUGCAAACAUUGUAUACCCUGAGCUGGGCUAAACGGCGUGUUCGCGUUCCCUGUUCUGUUCUCACAAGUUGUGUGACCUUGAGGGAGCUCCUCACCUUUGAAACACGUGCAAGAGAUAAUGUCUACCUUCAGGGCCAGGGGGUUUGUUUGUUUGGGCUUGUUUUUGUCAGGGCUGGCUGAAGGAGGCAACGUGUGGGCCCGCUGGGUUAUUUGCCACUUCCAGUAUUUGCUGAAUAGGGGUUUCUCAUUUCUGGAACACUUACGAGUUAUGGGGUGCAUACAUGGUCAUCACACCUGCUGUAAGGGAAGGCAGCUACAGCCCCCCACCACAGUAAGUUCUCCCCACUUGUCUUUCUGGAUUACUCCUGAAGCCCUCCUCAAUCGUUAAAUCAGCAUCACUCAGGAGUGAUCACCAAGGAAGAGCAGUGACUUGCCAAGGUGAGGCCGAGGCGCUCCCUCCUGGCUCCCCGCCCUCAGUGUUCCAAGCCAAAGUCUCGUCCAGGCCAAUGUUCCUCUGUCCCUAAUCCAAAUUCAAAGAGACAGAUUUCUCCCCAAAAGCAGAGGCCCUGGAUUGCCCCGCCUCCCAGGUCUGUGCCCUUUUCUUACUGUGCCCCCUAAAGUGGCCCAGCAGUCCUUUCUGGAACUGGGGGAGGGAGUCCCUGGGGCUGGGCUAUGGAGUCAGACAUGCACGGGGGCUGUGUCCCCCGUGUCACUUACGAGCUGGUCCACCCACGCAACGUGCCAGAGCGCUCGGGGUCUCAGUUUCGUUAUCCAUUAGACAGGGCCAAAAAUAGAAGGAAGCCUCGUCAUGCGUUGCUGUGAGGAUGGAGACAUUGCACAGGAUGUACUUAACCCAGACCUCGGCACGUAGGUGCUACGCAGACAAUAGAGCGCGCUUACGUAGGUCUGCUUCAUCACCCCAGGAGGGCCGCUCUGGGAGGCGGGCUCUGGUGCCGGAAGCUCAGAUCCAUGAUCUAUACUGUGUGAUCCUGGGAACAUCUGGAAAAUGAGGAUGAGGAAAUUGAGGAGGUCCAGAGCGCUGUUUGACUCAGAGCCCACUUCACCACCGUAACACCUCCUUCAUGAAUAAAAUACAAGAUACGUAGUCAGGAAACCUGAACUUGUCAUGUGCUCAUGGACUGUUCCCAGACAAGCCUUUCUUCCUCUCUGAGAUUCCAUCUUCCCAGCUCUAAAAUGAGAGCUACUUGACCUACUUUUUACUUCCCUGAUAGAACGGUUGCCAAGACCGAUUAAAAGCGAACCUGUGUUUGUGGGAGUGCUCUGUGAGGUGCUUAGUUCUCUGCAGUUAGAAGAUGGAAUUCUCAUCCACAAGCAAGGCGGCACGUGAUCCAGGGGACCAGCACACCUGACCGCUCCUGGCAGGGGAGGAGCUUCUCCAAGGCCACAGGAGUCAUCCUGGAUGGGAUGCUGGGAGCCUCCUGGCUGGCACGCAUUUGAACUUGUGUCCACACAGAAAUUCGAACAGUGGAGAGUGAAUGCUUUCGUCACCUGCAACAAGUCCAGUUCCUUUCAUUUGGGGAUUGGUCUCAGGCCCUUUCUGGGGUUAAUAAGCUAUGCGUUCUGAUGUGGUUGAUGGAGAGAAAGUUGCAGACCCUGGAAGCUUGGAUUUCAAGCCCCCAGCACAGAAGGAAACCCCAGGAUGAGGACAAAGGGGACCAGAGAAGAGGCCUUUCUAUAAAGCCCAGGAUGACAGUGGUUUUCCCGAAGAGCUCCAGAGGGGGACCUGGGAUCUGAGUGUUGGCACCACUGCCAGUCCGGGAGAGGGCUGUGUGUGUGUGUGUGUGUGUGUGUGUGUGUGUGUAUUCAGUGAUUGACCUGGGGUCAGACAUACCACGAGGCCUCUUGAUCCAUAUUCAUAUUCCUUCUUUUUGAAACACCCUUUAAAAGAGUAUCUAUUUUUUUAAUGAGGACUAAUUGGUGGUAAACUCAUUUAUUAUUUGUCUGGAAGUAGCUUCAUUGUGUCAUUUUUCUUGCUAGAUAGUUUCGAUCGGUAUACAAUUCUGUAUUAACUGUUCAUUUUCUCUCAACACUUUGAGGACAGCAUUCAACUGUCUUCCUGCUGCCAUUGCUAUCCAGAAGUCAGCUGUCAGUCUACUGGUAAAAUCAUCUCUAAUGUUGGCAUUUCCUCAGAUUCAUUACAACGUGUCUGUGUGUGAAUUCCUCUUAUUUAUAUUUCUUUGAAUGAGAUGUGUUUCUGGAUCUGUGCAUUCAUUUUAUUUAUCAGUUCUGGAAUAUUCUAAGAUAUUAACACAUUGAUUCUUAUUCUUUUUCCUGCUCUCUAUUUCCCUCUUAGGGGCUGUGAUUUGAUUGCGUUAGGCUUUCUUAUGCUGUCCUCACAGUGUCUUGACACAUCUGUCAUAUAUUGAAUCACCCUGUUUCCUUGUUCUGCAUUCUGUGUAACUUUUUUUGGCCUGAAACUUUCAGCGCAGUAAUUCAUCUUUAGUCAUUCACUCUGCUGUUUAAACCCACCUACUGAAUGUUUAUUUCAGAAACAUUAUUUGUUAUUUCUAAAAGCUCAAUGUUUUUCCCAAUACUACCAGCUCCU